RNAcentral lists this ribosomal RNA (483 nucleotides) under uncultured bacterium. RNAcentral describes it as "partial 16S ribosomal RNA". It matches the Rfam family "Bacterial small subunit ribosomal RNA", at positions 30 to 507 of the family's 1533-position model. The record is from RNAcentral.
UUGAACGCUGGCGGCAGGCCUAACACAUGCAAGUCGAGCGGAUGAAGGGAGCUUGCUCCUGGCUUCAGCGGCGGACGGGUGAGUAAUGCCUAGGAAUCUGCCUGGUAGUGGGGGAUAACGUCCGGAAACGGGCGCUAAUACCGCAUACGUCCUGAGGGAGAAAGUGGGGGAUCUUCGGACCUCACGCUAUCAGAUGAGCCUAGGUCGGAUUAGCUAGUUGGUGGGGUAAAGGCCUACCAAGGCGACGAUCCGUAACUGGUCUGAGAGGAUGAUCAGUCACACUGGAACUGAGACACGGUCCAGACUCCUACGGGAGGCAGCAGUGGGGAAUAUUGGACAAAGGGCGAAAGCCUGAUCCAGCCAUGCCGCGUGUGUGAAGAAGGUCUUCGGAUUGUAAAGCACUUUAAGUUGGGAGGAAGGGCAGUAAGUUAAUACCUUGCUGUUUUGACGUUACCAACAGAAUAAGCACCGGCUAACUUCGUG